GACAUCCAGAGAACUUAGCAGAGAUUGCUUUGGUGCCUUCGGGAACUCUGAGACAGGUGCUGCAUGGCUGUCGUCAGCUCGUGUUGUGAAAUGUUGGGUUAAGUCCCGCAACGAGCGCAACCCUUAUCCUUUGUUGCCAGCGGUUCGGCCGGGAACUCAAAGGAGACUGCCGGUGAUAAACCGGAGGAAGGUGGGGAUGACGUCAAGUCAUCAUGGCCCUUACGGCCAGGGCUACACACGUGCUACAAUGGCGCAUACAAAGAGAAGCGACCUCGCGAGAGCAAGCGGACCUCAUAAAGUGCGUCGUAGUCCGGAUUGGAGUCUGCAACUCGACUCCAUGAAGUCGGAAUCGCUAGUAAUCGUAGAUCAGAAUGCUACGGUGAAUACGUUCCCGGGCCUUGUACACACCGCCCGUCACACCAUGGGAGUGGGUUGCAAAAGAAGUAGGUAGCUUAACCUUCGGGAGGGCGCUUACCACUUUGUGAUUCAUGACUGGGGUGAAGUCGUAACAAGGUAGGCGUAGCGAG
RNAcentral lists this ribosomal RNA (527 nucleotides) under uncultured bacterium. RNAcentral's name for it is "bacterial SSU rRNA". It matches the Rfam family "Bacterial small subunit ribosomal RNA", at positions 983 to 1509 of the family's 1533-position model. The record is from RNAcentral.